AGAAUGUGGUGUAAAGGAAACACAGAGGAUUUUGAGUUCUUGGAUAUAGGUUCGAGUCCUAUUGUUCUAG
This 70-nucleotide transfer RNA is filed under the name Dromiciops gliroides (monito del monte). RNAcentral describes it as "transfer RNA-Gln". It matches the Rfam family "tRNA". Rfam says of the family: Transfer RNA (tRNA) molecules are approximately 80 nucleotides in length. The record is from RNAcentral. Lineage: Eukaryota; Metazoa; Chordata; Mammalia; Microbiotheria; Microbiotheriidae.